Molecule: ribosomal RNA, 459 nt
Filed under: uncultured bacterium
Lineage: Bacteria
Description: partial 16S ribosomal RNA
Rfam family: Bacterial small subunit ribosomal RNA
Source: RNAcentral
CCUACGGGUGGCAGCAGUGAGGAAUAUUGGUCAAUGGGCGCGAGCCUGAACCAGCCAAGUCGCGUGAGGGAAGAAGGUCCUGCGGAUCGUAAACCUCUUUUGUCAGGGAACAAAGGCGGGCACUAGUCCCCUGAUGAGGGUACCUGAAGAAAAAGCAUCGGCUAACUCCGUGCCAGCAGCCGCGGUAAUACGGAGGAUGCGAGCGUUAUCCGGAUUUAUUGGGUUUAAAGGGUGCGCAGGCGGACUGUUAAGUCAGCGGUAAAAGCCCGGGGCUCAACCCCGUCGAGCCGUUGAAACUGGCGGGCUGGAGUGGGCGAGAAGUACGCGGAAUGCGCGGUGUAGCGGUGAAAUGCUUAGAUAUCGCGCAGAACCCCGAUUGCGAAGGCAGCGUACCGGCUCCAAACUGACGCUGAGGCACGAAAGCGUGGGUAUCGAACAGGAUUAGAUACCCGAGUAGUC